RNAcentral lists this ribosomal RNA (383 nucleotides) under uncultured bacterium. Its description in RNAcentral is "bacterial SSU rRNA". It matches the Rfam family "Bacterial small subunit ribosomal RNA", at positions 29 to 416 of the family's 1533-position model. The record is from RNAcentral.
AUUGAACGCUGGCGGCAGGCCUAACACAUGCAAGUCGAGCGCGAAAGGCCUUCGGGCUGAGUAGAGCGGCGGACGGGUGAGUAACGCGUAGGAAUCUACCUGGUAGUGGGGGACAACUUGGGGAAACUCAAGCUAAUACCGCAUACGCCCUAUGGGGGAAAGUGGGGGACCUUCGGGCCUCACGCUAUCAGAUGAGCCUGCGUAGGAUUAGCUAGUUGGUGAGGUAAAGGCUCACCAAGGCGACGAUCCUUAGCUGGUCUGAGAGGAUGAUCAGCCACACUGGGACUGAGACACGGCCCAGACUCCUACGGGAGGCAGCAGUGGGGAAUAUUGCGCAAUGGGGGCAACCCUGACGCAGCCAUGCCGCGUGUGUGAAGAAGGCC